AUGACGAGCAGCGCUGAAUGGCUUGAGAAGAACUUUGGCCUGUUCUCUGGCUAUGCUACUGUGGAGUUUUUAGAAGCCCUGAAUGUGAAUUUCUCCAGUUUGGGAUCGCUGUCACUGCUGAACCCUACUCAAGUAGCUGAAAUCACCCUGAGCUCUGGAGCGCUAAACAACACUGAUCAGAUCGUGGUUGUGUUUGACCGGCUGGAGAAAGGCGACGCUUUCCUGAACAUGAAGGAAUUUCUGACAGAACUAAAUGCAGCUCCAGAGGCAAGUCAAUCUGCUGAAAUGUGUGGCAUAGACCGUGUGGAUGCCCCAGAGAAAGGUGUAGAAUAGGAGGCUUUCUUGCGGUGCCACUCACACUCCUGUUGUUGUGUCUCUACAGAUUCCUGUCAUCAGCCCUGCUGUGAGUGACGUGAUGAUGAACCGCACCUUCGCAAUCAUUGAAGGCUAUUUCCGGAAAUUUGAGACUCACGAUUGGGUGGUGUGGUUCACCGUGAAUCUCGUUCCCAUCCUCCCCAGUUUCACCACAGAAAUGCUGGUUAAGGUCACAGCUUCAGUCAACUGCACCGACUACCGUGUGAUGUGAGUUUCUAACUUCAGAGUGAGAAUGUUUUUCAGCCUGCACCAGGAUCUCCACCUCAUGACCCCUCUUUGGCUUUGUGUUGCAGAGUUAAGGGAUUGGGAAUCAAUUUCCAGAGAAUGACAUUUACCAGGAGGCAGGAGAUAACCAAUGUUCUGGUCGAGCACCUAAAGACAACUGCUGCCAAAUUCAGCAUGCCAGGUAAACCUUCCAGAACACCUUUUUCCAGCAUCUCCUUGUUGCUGGAAGGGAAUGGGUUGCAAUAUAAAUAUUUUUUCUUAGACAACAGGCCAGGGUGUGUGUUGUGUCCCCUGUUGUGUGCAUGAUGCAGGCUGACCUUCCUCCAUCCUUGUCUUUAAAAAAUCAGGUUGCAGACAGAAAACUGAAAGCGCUGCUGAAUGGCUCGACACCAACUUGGGUCGAUUCUCCUCUUCAGCCAGUUACUCAGACCUCAAGUCCCUGAACAUUAGCAUGGUAACGUACCAUC
This is a long non-coding RNA of Danio rerio (zebrafish), 1067 nucleotides long. NCBI's taxonomy places the organism in Eukaryota, Metazoa, Chordata, Actinopteri, Cypriniformes, Danionidae. The record is from Ensembl.